This 452-nucleotide ribosomal RNA is filed under the name uncultured bacterium. RNAcentral describes it as "bacterial SSU rRNA". It matches the Rfam family "Bacterial small subunit ribosomal RNA", at positions 28 to 477 of the family's 1533-position model. The record is from RNAcentral.
GAUGAACGCUGGCGGCGUGCUUAACACAUGCAAGUCGAACGAAGCACUCUAUUUGAUUUUCUUCGGAAAUGAAGAUUUUGUGACUGAGUGGCGGACGGGUGAGUAACGCGUGGGUAACCUGCCUCAUACAGGGGGAUAACAGUUGGAAACGACUGCUAAUACCGCAUAAGCGCACAGGAUCGCAUGAUCUGGUGUGAAAAACUCCGGUGGUAUGAGAUGGACCCGCGUCUGAUUAGCCAGUUGGCAGGGUAACGGCCUACCAAAGCGACGAUCAGUAGCCGACCUGAGAGGGUGACCGGCCACAUUGGGACUGAGACACGGCCCAAACUCCUACGGGAGGCAGCAGUGGGGAAUAUUGCACAAUGGGGGAAACCCUGAUGCAGCGACGCCGCGUGAGCGAAGAAGUAUUUCGGUAUGUAAAGCUCUAUCAGCAGGGAAGAAGAAUGACGGUA